RNAcentral lists this ribosomal RNA (840 nucleotides) under Sphaerospermopsis aphanizomenoides AMH1. RNAcentral describes it as "bacterial SSU rRNA". It matches the Rfam family "Bacterial small subunit ribosomal RNA", at positions 60 to 938 of the family's 1533-position model. The record is from RNAcentral. Lineage: Bacteria; Bacillati; Cyanobacteriota; Cyanophyceae; Nostocales; Aphanizomenonaceae.
AGUCGAACGGGAUGCUUACGCAUCGAGUGGACGGACGGGUGAGUAACGCAUGAUAAUCUGGCUCCAGGUCGGGGACAACGGUAGGAAACGACUGCUAAUACCGGAUGUGCCGAAAGGUGAAAGAUUUAUUGCCUGGAGAUGAGCUCGCCUCUGAUUAGCUAGUUGGUAGAGUAAUGAACUACCAAGGGGACGAUCAAAAGCUGGUCUGAGAGGAUGAUCAGCCACGCUGGGACUGAGACACGGCCCAGACUCCUACUGGAGGCAGCAGUGGGGAAUUUUCCGCAGUGGGCGAAAGCCUGACGGAACAAUACCGCGUGAGGGAGGAAGGCUCUUGGGUCGUAAACCUCUUUUCUCAAGGAAGAACACCUUGUCUGUACUUGAGGAAUAAGCAUCUGGUAACUCCGUGCCGGCCGCCGCGGUAAUACGGAGGAUGCAAGCGUUAUCCGGAAUGAUUGGGCGUAAAGGGUCUGUAGGUGGUGCUGUAAGUCUGCUGAUUAAGAGCAAGGCUCAACCUUGUAAGAGCACUGGAAACUACGGGACUAAACUGCGGUAUGGGCAAAAGGAAUUCCUGGGGUACCGCUGAAAUGCGUAGAUAUCAGGAAGAACACCGGUGGCGAAAGCGUUUUGCUAGACCGCAACUGACACUGAGAACACGAAAGCUAGGGGAGCGAAUGGGAUUAGAUACCCCAGUAGUCCUAGCCGUAAACGAUGGAUACUAGGCGUGGCUUGUAUCGACCCGACCCGUGCCGGAGCUAACGCGUUGAGUAUCCCGCCUGGUCAGUCCGCACGCCAGUGUGAAACUCAAAAGAUUUGACGGGGGCCCGCACAAGCCGGUAGAGU